This 2183-nucleotide long non-coding RNA is filed under the name Eucalyptus grandis. RNAcentral's name for it is "long non-coding RNA (EGRA_LNC001472)". Lineage: Eukaryota; Viridiplantae; Streptophyta; Magnoliopsida; Myrtales; Myrtaceae. The record is from RNAcentral.
UUUUCUUUCGGUCGAAUUCCAGCCCAGCAAAACCUCCUCUGCGUGUCUUCCUCAGCUCCACGAAUGCCCUGCUUCACUAGCUCUUGUCGCCCACCAGCAGUCCGCAUGCCUUCUCCACUGAGCAGCUUGGUUUUGCUGCCACUUGGCCGCUUCUGUCUUUCUUCGGUCAGCAAGCGGAAUUGAAGACCGCCGAAGGAAGCCGCACGAUUCCACCGAGUUUGGUCGGCUACUCACGUCCCAGCUGCAGCCCUCCUCCACACGUCUCCCAGCUGCCAGUGCCGGUCAACAACGAACCAGCAAAUAAUCCUCUAUUGACUCCGCAUCUCCAUCCCACGACUGCCAGCGAAGCCAGCUCCAUUCCAUCGAUCUUCAGCUCUUCACGCCAGCCUCCAUCGAAAGUCAGCAACCAGCAGUCCAGCGAAACUGCUCCUCAUCCACGCCAUCUGUCCACGAUCCAACUUCUCUCAGUCAACUUCAAGCCGCACCGAAGCCCCUUCGUUGACUGCAUCUCGUCCGCUCAGUCUUCAGCUGCGUGGACUCCUUCAGCUUGCUCAUCUCCACGAAGCAGGACGCCGAAGCUGCUUCUUUGUUGUUUCUCUCGCCUGGUCUGGCUUGCACUCUAGCUCACAGCCCAGCCCAUGAGGCCAAUGACUUCAGCCCAGCAAUUGAUUAAUUUCAGCAGCCCAUCAACUGAAAUUGGAGGCCCAAUUUCCAGCAAAGAAUUUUGAAGCCCAAGUGAAGUCAGUCCAGAAAUUUCAGCAGGCCCAAUUCAACUUGGGUCUAGCCCAAAAGCAGGAAACAAAUCUCAGUUGGGCUGAGAUUUGUUGGGCCAAGCCUAAGGCCCGGUCCCAAGCCCGCCGGUGUUGUCGAAAGUCCGAUUUCGGCCGCCGUCGCGUCGCCGUCGCGGUGUUCCGAUACCCGCUUUUAAUCAAGUGAGUUUUACUCACUAAAGCUUUAUUAGUUUGCUAAUUAUGUCUUAGGGUUGGUUAGAUUUAAUUAUAUGCACUUAGGUGGUUAGAUUAGGUUAGAACAAUUAAAUUAGUGACUUGAGGAUGCAUGUUAGGUGGUUAGACCUAGCUAUUAGCAAGUAGAAAUGUUUGGUUAUUUAUUGAAUGUAUCUCGGGAUUUUUCCCGACCCGUUUCGGGCUCCAAUAAGGCAAUAUGGGCCUAAAUUGGAUUUUUUAUGUUUAUUUAUUUAUUUUCGAAAUUUAUUUAUUUAAUUAAUUAUUUUUCCGGAAAUUCAACCGGGAUGGCCGGUGACCGGAAUUUCGUGCCGAUUGUCGUGGUGCAGACCGUUUAUUUAUUUGAGCUCUACGUUGUGUGGAAUUGAAUUUAUUGUGGAAUUUUAGGAAUUGUCCUAAAUUGUUUGUUAUUGAGUAUUUGAUUGGUAAUGGCUAAGCUUGGAUAUAUAGCGCCAGUACGUUGAUGGGCUAUAUAGUAGGGAGAAUGGUGAGACCAAUCAGGUACGAUAUUAUUGGAUAUACGUGGUUCGGUGAUUGGAAGUAUCACUGGCGAAAACGGCGCCUUAAAGAACGCACGUAAAUGACUUAUAGACACACGUGGUUCGGUGAUUAUGGGAAUAUCAUUGGUGAAAACGGCGCCUUAAAGAACGCACGAUGUUGUCUAUAGCCGAUGUCACCUUGGCGAAAACGGCGCCCUUGAAAGGACACGUGGUUCGGUGAUCAAGGUUAUCACUGGUGAAAACGGCGCCUUAAAGAACGCACGGUGUCGGUGAUCGGUAUGUCAUUGGCGAAAACGACGCCCGAGAAACACAUGUGAUUUGGUGAAUGAGUACACCACUGGGGAUUUGUGGUAUGAGUGGGAAUGACCUAGAGAGGGUCUAAUUGACAUGUAAUCGACUUAGUCGAUUGGCCAGUGCUUGAUCGAAUGUCGUGAAUUGUUUGAAUAUCUGUGUUUAACCUUGAAUUGCAGGUUGGGACUGAGGCUAAGGUAAGUCCUCUGACUCGUGUUGUGCUUAGGCAACCGUAUGGCGUAUUAGUUUAUUAAUCGAGUCUUAGUGGGUAGGACUCGCUGAGACGUGGUCUCAUUGGUUAUUGAAUAACCAUUUCAGGACCCUGAGGAAAAGCUGAGGAGGAAGAACCUGAAGGGGAGAAAGUAUUUUGAAGUAGAAGAUGAUCCAGAGAGGGAUUAUUGAAUAUAACCCAGAUGUGGAUUGAGAUCCC